UUCCCUUACCGCUGAUGAAAUAUUUGGCUCUAAUAUUCAGUCACUCAAAUAAAAGAAAUACUCACUCACUUUAUUCCAAAAAAAAACCUUACUCGCUGAAAUGGAAAAACUCACGCAAGAACCCUAACUCUUGAAUGUGGCCGUCAAUCCCAUCUCUCCAAUUCCUUCAAUCCCUAAAUCAUUCUCUCUAAUCACUUUGUCGUUCUCUCCAAUCGUUACCAUUCUCUUCAAUUUCAUCAACUUCGAAUCGACGCUGCCUUCGAGAAAUAGUUGUCGUCACCUAACUCGUUACACGUUCAUGUUGCUUCUUGAGGUUACUUACUUAGCAUGAAUGAUGAAUCCCAAGUUUGAGCACAUAUUGUGGAGCUAAGGUUCAGCUCAUAAUGUACACUGCAGCUGGUUUAUAGGUGGAACAUUGACACUCUUUAUCUCACUCUACAACUUGUUAAUGCAAAUUACAACUGAGAUAAGGAUAAUAGUAGUAUAUAUCUCAUACUUACAAACUUAUCAUUUUUGUUAAAAUUGAAUAUUGAACUAGUGGUGAAGCUAAUGGAGUGAUUCAUAAAGUGAAAUAUUUCCCCUACUUUCAUGAAGAAUUAAUUGCCUAUUAUUAACUUGACAAUGUUGAGAUGCUGCAGAUCAUCAUGGACCUCCAAGGGUGAACAUUUGGCAGGAUCCACUCUCCCCAUCUAAGUGGAAAUAAGAGCAUGAUAAAUUGCAAGCUGAAAAUACCAUCUUAACUCACAACUAUUUCUCACUCUGCAAGUUUGACAUCUUCCUCCAAGGCUAAUGAGAAGAUGAAGAAAAUGCAAGCUGAAAUCAAUUCGCUCAAGGACAACACUUCAUAAGUUGAUAUAUUGAAGGAGCAAGUUGCAUUUUUAUUGCAAAUGCAAAACUCUAGCGAAAAUCAGGUAUCUGCAUUAGAAGAGUCACUAAAUAGUAGGUGUUUUGAGUCAAGCAAGCACUGAGGAUCAUGAAGCAACAUGACUAGGAAAUAUUUAGAUAUUUUUGUGAACUUCUAAUUUUGAUGUAAUUGUUUUGUAUGUUUAGUCACUUUACUAAUGUAAUUUUGUAUUACUUUAAUUAUUGUUUUAGUUAAGUUUUGAUGUAUGGAUGUUACUAUUGAAUAAAUUAUAUGAAUGAGAAUAAGUCAUUUAUAUUUA
This is a long non-coding RNA of Trifolium pratense (red clover), 1163 nucleotides long. RefSeq lists it as uncharacterized. Lineage: Eukaryota; Viridiplantae; Streptophyta; Magnoliopsida; Fabales; Fabaceae. The transcript has 5 exons. The record is from RefSeq and is a predicted model, not a curated record.